Molecule: long non-coding RNA, 480 nt
Filed under: Medicago truncatula (barrel medic)
Lineage: Eukaryota; Viridiplantae; Streptophyta; Magnoliopsida; Fabales; Fabaceae
Description: lncRNA gene37136
Source: RNAcentral
CCACUAAUUCAAAAAGAGCCUUAGUCACAUUCAGGAAUUUUUCAACUCUGACCCCACUCAUCCUUAUGAAUCCUUCAUUCUUUGUAUAUAUCUGUGAGAAACCCUCAUACUUUUCUUCCAUGAUUACCAGGCUUCAAAUAGUUGAAAGGUUGUAGCAGUGUCAUCAGUUACCCGUUAUUAGGAGGUUUUGAGUUUCCAACUUUGAUAGUAUAUUGUCAGCUCCAAACAGAAUUGUGAACACUACAUGGCUGAGUUUUAUAACGACGAGGUGCCCAUUCUGUCAGAUGCUACAGUCUGAGUGGAGCAUGCUGGAGCAGAUGCCGGCUCUGCGGAGGAGGAGUAGGAGUCUACAAGAUGGAGCAUUAUGACUUUUGUAGUUUUUUUAUGACAUUUUGUUGGAUUUGGUUGUAAUCCUAUUAUAUUUGCAUUUUUUUUGGUGUUUUUAUGAUAUUUUUCGUUAUUUUAUUCUGUUAUUUUUCU